Molecule: ribosomal RNA, 253 nt
Filed under: uncultured bacterium
Lineage: Bacteria
Description: partial 16S ribosomal RNA
Rfam family: Bacterial small subunit ribosomal RNA
Source: RNAcentral
UACGAAGGGGGCUAGCGUUGCUCGGAAUUACUGGGCGUAAAGGGCGCGUAGGCGGCACUGUUAGUCAGGCGUGAAAGUCCUGGGCUCAACCUGGGAACUGCGCUUGAUACGGCAGAGCUAGAGGAUGGAAGAGGCUCGCGGAAUUCCCAGUGUAGAGGUGAAAUUCGUAGAUAUCAUUUGGAACGCCAAUGGUGAAAACAGGUAGCUGGGAGUGUGCUGACACUGAGACACGAAAGCCAGGGGAGCAAACGGG